UCCCCCGUAGCUCAAUGGUAGAGCAGGAAGCUGUUAACUUCAAGGUUCGUGGUUCGAGUCCACGCGGGGGAGCCA
RNAcentral lists this transfer RNA (75 nucleotides) under candidate division WWE3 bacterium RIFCSPLOWO2_12_FULL_36_10. RNAcentral's name for it is "tRNA-Asn". It matches the Rfam family "tRNA". Rfam says of the family: Transfer RNA (tRNA) molecules are approximately 80 nucleotides in length. Their secondary structure includes four short double-helical elements and three loops (D, anti-codon, and T loops). The record is from RNAcentral. Lineage: Bacteria; candidate division WWE3.